GACGAACGCUGGCGGCGUGCCUAAUACAUGCAAGUUGAGCGCUGAAGGUUGGUACUUGUACCCACUGGAUGAGCAGCGAACGGGUGAGUAACGCGUGGGGAAUCUGCCUUUGAGCGGGGGACGACAUUUGGAAACGAAUGCUAAUACCGCAUAAAAACUUUAAACACAAGUUUUAAGUUUGAAAGAUGCAAUUGCAUCACUCAAAGAUGAUCCCGCGUUGUAUUAGCUAGUUGGUGAGGUAAAGGCUCACCAAGGCGAUGAUACAUAGCCGACCUGAGAGGGUGAACGGCCAAAUUGGGACUGAGACACGGCCCAAACCCCUACGGGGGGCAGCAGUAGGGAAUCUUCGGCAAUGGACGAAAGGCUGACCGAGCAACGCCGCGUGAGGGAAGAAGGUUUUCGGAUCGUAAAACUCUGUUUGUAGAGAAGGACGUUGGUGAGAGUGGAAAGCUCAUCAAGUGACGGUAACUACCCAGAAAGGGACGGCUAACUACGUG
This 497-nucleotide ribosomal RNA is filed under the name uncultured bacterium. RNAcentral's name for it is "partial 16S ribosomal RNA". It matches the Rfam family "Bacterial small subunit ribosomal RNA", at positions 28 to 507 of the family's 1533-position model. The record is from RNAcentral.